RNAcentral lists this ribosomal RNA (253 nucleotides) under uncultured bacterium. Its description in RNAcentral is "partial 16S ribosomal RNA". It matches the Rfam family "Bacterial small subunit ribosomal RNA", at positions 524 to 776 of the family's 1533-position model. The record is from RNAcentral.
UACAGAGGUCCCGAGCGUUGUUCGGAUUCACUGGGCGUAAAGGGUGCGCAGGUGGGUUGGCAAGUUCGAUGUGAAAGCCCCGGGCUUAACCCGGGAAUGGCAUUGGAAACUGCUGAUCUGGAGGAUCGGAGGGGGGACUGGAAUUCUUGGUGUAGCAGUGAAAUGCGCAGAUAUCAGGAGGAACACCGGCGGCGAAGGCGGGUCUCUGGGCCGUAACUGACGCUGAGGAGCGAAAGCGUGGGGAGCGAACAGG